This 3381-nucleotide long non-coding RNA is filed under the name Nicotiana tabacum (common tobacco). Its description in RNAcentral is "long non-coding RNA (NTAB_LNC013156)". The record is from RNAcentral. Lineage: Eukaryota; Viridiplantae; Streptophyta; Magnoliopsida; Solanales; Solanaceae.
AACAGAAAUAUAACAACGCAAAAUUUCUUUUUUUAUUUAGAUUUUUGAUUUAUAAUACAUUUUUCAAAUUCAAAAUAGAAAGUACAAUAAAAAAAACUAGACAUUACUAUACAAAACUAAAAGGUAAAAGACGACAUAAAAUGAAAAAACAGACUCAAAACAUAAAAAUAAAAUAAAUUUCCUUCAGCAACUCCUGAAUGAGCAAUCCUGCCUGGAUGGUCCCGAGGUAUCAAUCAUGCUCAAAAUCUGGUAAAUAGACUCACACCUGUAUGAGAAAAUUAAAACUAACACUAUAUGAGACAAUAACAUUCUCCACUAGACACAUGCAAGACAUAGUUGUGAUUUUUUUUUCUAAAAUUAACCCAUGUGGCUAAAAGUAGCUAAAAAGGCAAGAUUUGGCUAAGACCUCGCGAAGCCAAGAAACUAAGAUUCACUAGGAAGACCGUACCCUAUGUGGGCUGCCACGAGAAUUAGGUAUGCGUAGUUCGAGCAGAUUGGAUACGGGCGAGAAUAAAUAACAAGACUAAUUUAGAGAAAACAUAUUUUUUUGUCUUUUGUUUUUUGAAAAAUGAUAAAACAUGUAAACCCUUUUUGGAUUUUCUUUUUCCUCUUUUUUUCUGAUUUGUUUUGAACAAAAUAAUGGGAAAGUGCAAAAUCUUUUUGGAUUUUUCCAUUUUCAUUUUUUGGUCUUUUCUUAAAAAAAUGUGAAAGAAAAACAUAAUUGGACCCUACUUGCUUUAUUUUUAUACUUCAACCUCUUUUUUCUCAUUUACCCUCAAACCUCAUUGGUCCGCCAAAUGACACAUUUACCCUUGAAGAGAUGCAACAUGUAGAACAAAGGAUGCAUCAAAAUGAUCUGUUAUGUUUUGGGUACACCUGUCCUAGACGGACCCAACCCCUGUGUUGAGUCCCCAAAGUCAGAUGCACGUGAUGCAAAAAAAUAUUCCUACUAGGGAUCCGGUAUGAGGCUGAGCUAUUCUAUGUUCAAAACCUAGGUAUGUUGUUCUAGACUUGUGUACCCGAGCGGACAACUCGAGUCGAGGGGGGUGCUACGUACCGGGAACCAAAAGGCCAUCCGGCUUUGUAACUUGUCUGAGCCUCUUCCUAAUUUAAGGUAUGACACUAAUAGAAAAGGAGUCACGCCAGCGUGCACAUCCCCGAAGAUGAGAAAAGAAGGGUUUCGUAGUAGUUUAUAUACAGUUCAGAUAAUAUCAAAGCGGUAAAAAGCGUCAUUUAGCACAUUAGGCCCAAACAUGUAAUAAAACGAGAUAAUAAAUAAAGCCAAAUAUAACAAUUAUUCUAAGCUCGAAUUCUUGAACCCUAAACCAGAGAUUCUGGAUUUAUUUUUCCCCAACAAAGUCGCCAGAGCUGUCACACCUCCUUUUUCACUACCCCGCGGAGGGGAGUAUAAGGAAGUUUUUUCCAAUGUAAGUGACAAUCGAAACGAGAUUAUUUAUUUAAAAUUCAGAGUUGCCACUUGGGAUAAUUUAUGGUGUCCCAAGUCAUCGGUUUAAAUCCCGAAUCGAGGAAAAGAUUGAUUCUGUUUUACAGUCCGCGAACACAGAAAUCCAGGUAAGGAAUUUUGUUAACCCGGGAGAAGGGGUUAGGCAUUUUCGGGUUCCAUGGUUUUAUCACGGUCGCUCAACUGUUAAUAAUGGCUCAUUUAGUUGAUUUUAAAACAUAUUUGAAACCUAUGUGCAUUUCUAUUCCUUUUAAACCGCUUUUAAUAAUCCAAUUAUUAUACUAAUAAUUAUUUGAUUACACGUUACGAAUCAUGUUACGGGAACCGUACCCACGAUCCUCAACAUGUCUAUUCUAUUAACAAAUUUAAAUUGUGGCCGGGUCACAUAAAUGUACCCCCAGAUUUUAGAAAUUAAGCACCACAACUACGUCACGGGAAUCAUACAUGUAGCUAUGACAAUUAUUUAAUUAACGUGCCUAAAGCAAACUACGAAAGUUCAAGGUAUUUUCUACACUAAUUAAAAUAUCUAUGUGAGGGCCAUAGACUAGGUGAUUGGAUGACACAACUCAAUUUUAUUAAAGAGCAUUCAACUAAGUUAACUACGGAUAUUCAUUUUUUAAAACUAAGUUGAAAUUAAGCGUCACAACUACACCACGGGAACCGUACCCAUAGUUGUGGAGAUCUUAUUAUGAGCCUAGAACAAACUAUGAGGAUCGUAGGUUAUUCCCUUACGGGCUUCAUCUAAGAAGAUUUCAAACAGAUACAGACAGAAAUAAACAACUCUACAUAAAACUUUAAGAGUGGGGUGAUUCUUUGUUUGGUCAAAAGGGUGUGAGAUUGACGUGUUCGAAACAAAUUCAUUGCCCCAAAAGGCCAAAACUAAUAAACCAAUGAUUAACGUAAACUAACAAAACAUUCACCAAACUAAACAAGCAGUACAUAUUUGCUUGUGGCAAAAUAAAAAUACAAUGAUUUCAAUUUCAACAAAUUUAAAACAUUUUCAAAAGUUAAUCAUUAAAUGAACUGAAUAAUCAAAUUCAUAUAGCAAAUAAAAGAAGUUCAAUCCACUUUCCACAUAUUAACCAAAUCACAGUUGUUUAUUCAUAUGCUUAAGAAUAUGAUUUGAGAAUAUAGUGGAAGAAACCAAACCUCAUUGCUGCGAAGGAACCAGAUCAAAACAAGAAGACCGACGAACCAUACCCAACUACGACCUCGAAAAUCCGGCAGAAACUUCAACCAAACUCCAGUUUUGUAGUGAGAAUGAACAAAAUUUUCUUUCGAUAAUUUUUAUACGAGAAACUAAAACCAAAAAAUCAAAAAAGAAUUCCUCCAUUUUUUCCAAAAUCGAACUCGCCGGACAGGAGGUGAGCUUUUCGUUGAUGGACUUUUCUCCGACUGGUUCCAGGCCAGCCAGAUGCUAAAAUAGAAAGGGUGCUCAGGCUAUGGUGUGACACUAAGGGUUUUUUUUUUAAAUUGAAGAAAGGAAAUCAAGGACUGAGUCAAAACUCUAGAAAUGAUUUUCAAGAUUUUAUUAGAUCUUCUCUAUGGCAGUGUUCAUCAAAACAUAUUUUCCUUCUCCAUUUUCAUAUCUCUAUCCUCACUGUAUUUUCGUUUCUUUCCCAGCCUAUGUUUCUCUUUUCUUUUGCUAGAGAAAAUUCAAAGGAAGUGGGGGUUGUUUUCUUUCCUGGUAAGAAUGGAAUCGAGAGAUUCAAGAGGGGGGAGGGAGCGAUGGAAUCCGUGAAUCAUGAAGAAGGUUCCUUCAUGGAAAUUGGGAAUUGGUCCUUUGAUGAUGGGAACGGCUCCUCCUUUUUUUAGGUUAAGGGGUAUAGGCCUAGGAAUUAUGGGCUAGGUCCGAAAAUUAGGCUUAAAAUGGUUGUCUUAGCCCAAAUUUUAUACUUUCAUCGUGAACAAGACUAAAA